Molecule: ribosomal RNA, 258 nt
Filed under: uncultured bacterium
Lineage: Bacteria
Description: partial 16S ribosomal RNA
Rfam family: Bacterial small subunit ribosomal RNA
Source: RNAcentral
CGGCGGACGGGUGAGUAACGCGUGGGUAACCUGCCUUACACAGGGGGAUAACGGUUAGAAAUGACUGCUAAUACCGCAUAAGACCACAGUACUGCAUGGUACAGUGGUAAAAACUGAGGUGGUGUAAGAUGGACCCGCGUCUGAUUAGGUAGUUGGUGGGGUAAUGGCCCACCAAGCCGACGAUCAGUAGCCGGCCUGAGAGGGUGGACGGCCACAUUGGGACUGAGACACGGCCCAGACUCCUACGGAAGGCAGCAG